UACGUAGGGGGCAAGCGUUAUCCGGAUUUACUGGGUGUAAAGGGAGCGUAGACGGCUGUGCAAGUCUGAAGUGAAAGGCAGGGGCUCAACCCUUGGACUGCUUUGGAAACUGUGCAGCUUGAGUGUCGGAGAGGCAAGUGGAAUUCCUAGUGUAGCGGUGAAAUGCGUAGAUAUUGGGAGGAACACCAGUGGCGGAGGCGGCUUGCUGGACGAUGACUGACGUUGAGGCUCGAAAGUGUGGGUAUCAA
This 248-nucleotide ribosomal RNA is filed under the name uncultured Lachnospiraceae bacterium. RNAcentral describes it as "partial 16S ribosomal RNA". It matches the Rfam family "Bacterial small subunit ribosomal RNA", at positions 524 to 771 of the family's 1533-position model. The record is from RNAcentral. Lineage: Bacteria; Bacillati; Bacillota; Clostridia; Lachnospirales; Lachnospiraceae.